AGGGUUCGAUCAUGGCUCAGAACGUACGCUGGCGGCACGCCUAAUACAUGCAAGUCGAACGAAGUAGCAAUACUUAGUGGCAGACGGGUGAGUAACAUGUGGGUAUCUUCCCUUUGGUGAGGAAUAACACGAGGAAACUUGUGCUAAUACCUCAUAAGUCUUUACGGAGAAAGCUUUAUGCGCCAAUGGAUGAGCCCGCACUUGAUUAGUUUGUUGGUGGGGUAAAGGCCUACCAAGACUAUGAUCAAUAGCUGAUUUGAGAGGAUGAUCAGCCACAUUGGGACUGAGACACGGCCCAAACUCCUACGGGAGGCAGCAGUAGGGAAUCUUGCACAAUGGGGGAAACCCUGAUGCAGCGAUGCCGCGUGAGUGAAGAAGGCCCUUGGGUUGUAAAGCUCUUUCGUCGGGGAAGAAAAUGACUGUACCCGAAUAAGAAGGUCCGGCUAACUUCGUGCCAGCAGCCGCGGUAAUAC
RNAcentral lists this ribosomal RNA (473 nucleotides) under uncultured bacterium. RNAcentral describes it as "bacterial SSU rRNA". It matches the Rfam family "Bacterial small subunit ribosomal RNA", at positions 8 to 526 of the family's 1533-position model. The record is from RNAcentral.